RNAcentral lists this ribosomal RNA (453 nucleotides) under uncultured bacterium. Its description in RNAcentral is "bacterial SSU rRNA". It matches the Rfam family "Bacterial small subunit ribosomal RNA", at positions 29 to 524 of the family's 1533-position model. The record is from RNAcentral.
AACGAACGCUGGCGGCAGGCCUCAAACAUGCAAGUCUAGGGGUGUAGCAAUACAUCACCGGCGGACGGGUGCGUAACGCGUGGGAAUAUACCUAUCGAUUCGGAACAACUGAGGGAAACUUCAGCUAAUACCGAAUACGUCCUAACGGAGAAGAUUUAUCGUCGAUAGAUUAGCCCGCGUUCGAUUAGCUAGUUGGUGGGGUAACGGCCCACCAAGGCGACGAUCGAUAGCUGUUCUGAGAGGAAGAUCAGCCACACUGGGACUGAGACACGGCCCAGACUCCUACGGGAGGCAGCAGUUGGGAAUCUUGGACAAUGGGGGGAAACCCGUGAUCCAGCCAUGCCGCGUGAGUGAUGAAGGCCUUCGGGUUGUAAAACUACUUUCGCGCACGACGAUAAUGACGGUAGUGCGAGAAGAAGCUCCGGCUAACUUCGUGCCAGCAGCCGCGGUAAU